This is a long non-coding RNA of Maniola jurtina (meadow brown), 90 nucleotides long. RefSeq lists it as uncharacterized. Lineage: Eukaryota; Metazoa; Arthropoda; Insecta; Lepidoptera; Nymphalidae. The record is from RefSeq and is a predicted model, not a curated record. The transcript is spliced from 3 exons.
CGGAGUUAGGAUGCACUUCUCUGCGCAAACGAAUUUUGCCGAUGCGACUUUUAAAGUGAUAGUACUGUACCUGAUUUGCGCGCUUUAUAU